Molecule: ribosomal RNA, 465 nt
Filed under: uncultured bacterium
Lineage: Bacteria
Description: partial 16S ribosomal RNA
Rfam family: Bacterial small subunit ribosomal RNA
Source: RNAcentral
GAUGAACGCUGGCGGCGUGCUUAACACAUGCAAGUCGAACGGAAAGGCUCCUGCUUGCAGGGGUACUCGAGUGGCGAACGGGUGAGUAACACGUGGGUGAUCUGCCCUGCACUUCGGGAUAAGCCUGGGAAACUGGGUCUAAUACCGGAUAGGACCACAUUUUGGAUGGUGUGGUGGAGAGUUUUUCGGUGGGGGAUGAGCUCGCGGCCUAUCAGCUUGUUGGUGGGGUAAUGGCCUACCAAGGCGUCGACGGGUAGCCGGCCUGAGAGGGUGUACGGCCACAUUGGGACUGAGAUACGGCCCAGACUCCUACGGGAGGCAGCAGUGGGGAAUAUUGCACAAUGGGCGGAAGCCUGAUGCAGCGACGCCGCGUGGGGGAUGACGGCCUUCGGGUUGUAAACUCCUUUCGCUAGGGACGAAGCGCAAGUGACGGUACCUGGAGAAGAAGCACCGGCUAACUACGUG